AACGAACGCUGGCGGCAGGCCUAACACAUGCAAGUCGAGCGCCCCAGCAAUGGGGAGCGGCAGACGGGUGAGUAACGCGUGGGUAUCUACCUAGUGGUGCGGAAUAGCCCAGGGAAACUUGGAGUAAUACCGCAUAAGCCCGAAAGGGGAAAGAUUUAUCGCCAUUAGAUGAGCCCGCGUUGGAUUAGCUAGUUGGUGGGGUAACGGCCCACCAAGGCGACGAUCCAUAGCUGGUCUGAGAGGAUGAUCAGCCACACUGGGACUGAGACACGGCCCAGACUCCUACGGGAGGCAGCAGUGGGGAAUAUUGGACAAUGGGCGCAAGCCUGAUCCAGCCAUGCCGCGUGAGUGACGAAGGUCUUCGGAUUGUAAAGACUC
RNAcentral lists this ribosomal RNA (378 nucleotides) under uncultured bacterium. Its description in RNAcentral is "bacterial SSU rRNA". It matches the Rfam family "Bacterial small subunit ribosomal RNA", at positions 29 to 433 of the family's 1533-position model. The record is from RNAcentral.